This is a long non-coding RNA of Dendroctonus ponderosae (mountain pine beetle), 1830 nucleotides long. RefSeq lists it as uncharacterized. The transcript is spliced from 3 exons. Lineage: Eukaryota; Metazoa; Arthropoda; Insecta; Coleoptera; Curculionidae. The record is from RefSeq and is a predicted model, not a curated record.
UCUAAUUAUUAUUUUUGUUUCAGACAUUACUUAAUGUUUAUUUGUUGUUGUGCUUAACUUUAAACGCAUAUUAUUCAAUCUCAAGAUAUUCGUCGUUGCAACGUUUGUCAAUGAAUUGCAGUUUAAGUUUAAAGUAGAGUUCAUGAAGUAAUAGAGGAGAGGAUCAAUCGCGAACUAAACCGUACUUUGUGCGCUUGCGCUAGGAAAUCCUGUCAACAGGUCUGAAAGUUGACAUGUGCUGUAAAAUUGAAGGUCGAAAUCCAGUUGUUGUGAGUAAAUGGUGAGUAAAUGUAAACACAACAACUAUGAUGUCUACGCAAUUUAACUGAUUUAAAAUCACUAUAGCACAGACUACUCACUAUUAUAGACUAUAGUCAUGGUGACGAUGUAGAACAAUUGCAUUUAUCAGACGUCGAACAAAGAAUGAUUGCUGCGAAACUCACCCUGGAAGUUCCAACAAAAAGCAUAAUUAAAAGUGUUUGUGAUAAAAUGGCACUGGAUAUGAAAAGAAUCGAUUUAAUCAACAAAGAUGACAUCAGAAAUAUACAAGAUUUCCAUGGAAUUCAUGCAAAAGACGACUGUACACAUCAGGAUGAUUCAGCAAGUGUCCAUUUGUGGGUAUUAGAGUGUCAGGAAACUAAUKAAUUAAAUAUAGUUUUWUAUGCCCCAAKGUGUAAAAGCACAAGAAAAUCCAUCAWUGCAAGACAAAUAUUGUUGUUUAAUCAUCAGGAGUACUGUACAUAAAGAAAUGCUUUUAAACUUUGRGUGCCAUAUAAUUGGGUGAUUUUGAGCUUAGUACUAUUUUGGUAACGGUUUUCCUGUAGCAUUUAUGUUUUCUAACAAGAAAUACCCUUUAACUUAUUAGACCAUUAAGAAACAUGUUGAUAUAAUUAAACCUAACGUUUUUAUGUCAGAUAUUACCAAUACGUUCUACAAUGGAGGGGGCAAAACAAUUGGAAGGGUUCCAAAUCAUUUACUAUGUUCAUGUUAAUAGAGGGUGGCAAUCAAAUCUUUAAAAAAAAUUCUAACACUGAGAACAGGGCUUGGACUUAUAAAAUGUUAAAAUAACUUCAGAAUGUGCUAAUUUUUUGCAAUGCCUUAACAAUUUCUGAGAAAUAAUGUUUAGUGACGAUGACACACGCCUUUGAAACUUAUUUUUCCUAAAACUAUGCUGGACAUUUUCAAUAAUGUCCUUAUUGAUUCAGAAAAGGAUGCAGAAUAAAUACCAGCAUGGCUCUUGAAAGCUUUCAUAGAAUAUGAACAUAUUUUUAUGGUAAAAAUGGUAAAGAAAAAGUCUUGCUGUACUAUCAAAUGUAUUUUUUGUAACAUUUGCUUACAUUCAUUUACCUGUAGUUGUGUUAUUUAAUGAGGAAUACAGUUUAUAAACAUGUCCAUUUUGUUGGCCUGCGGGAUAUAUCACAAUGCCCGGGUUUCUUAAAGUUAAAUAAUUAAUGUUUUAGGUCGGAAAAUAUGCGGCAAAUGCUCAGUUAUAAUUCGAAUCAAAAUGAUUAAACGUUCAUUAAAAGGAUAAAAUUGAAUCUAGUUUUGUUCUGGUUUGUUCAAGUAAUCAACUUGUCAUUUCUUAUAGUUCAGCCAACAAUCAUCAGUAAUUUAAAAUUAGAUAUUAUUUAUCAUUGAAUAUGUAAUGCAUGCAGAUAUUUUGAAAUAUGUAUUUCGGUUAGUUAAGGUGAAAGGUACUUAAGUUUGUUAUAUGGAGCAAUAUUAAAUAACUACAGACAUAUGGUAUUCGUUUUAUAUCUUAAUGUUAUAUAGGCAAGUGCGAGGUGAGGUAGAUAUAAGAGCAGAAAAAUAAUAAAUUUAUUUGCAACA